GACGAACGCUGGCGGCGUGCCUAAUACAUGCAAGUAGAACGCUGAAGGAGGAGCUUGCUUCUCUGGAUGAGUUGCGAACGGGUGAGUAACGCGUAGGUAACCUGCCUGGUAGCGGGGGAUAACUAUUGGAAACGAUAGCUAAUACCGCAUAAUAUUGACUAUUGCAUGAUAGUCAGUUGAAAGGUGCAACUGCACCACUACCAGAUGGACCUGCGUUGUAUUAGCUAGUUGGUGGGGUAACGGCUCACCAAGGCGACGAUACAUAGCCGACCUGAGAGGGUGAUCGGCCACACUGGGACUGAGACACGGCCCAGACUCCUACGGGAGGCAGCAGUAGGGAAUCUUCGGCAAUGGACGGAAGUCUGACCGAGCAACGCCGCGUGAGUGAAGAAGGUUUUCGGAUCGUAAAGCUCGGUUGUAAGAGAAGAACGAGUGUGAGAGUGGAAAGCUCACACUGUGACGGUAUCUUACCAGAAAGGGACGGCUAACUACGUG
Molecule: ribosomal RNA, 495 nt
Filed under: uncultured bacterium
Lineage: Bacteria
Description: partial 16S ribosomal RNA
Rfam family: Bacterial small subunit ribosomal RNA
Source: RNAcentral